GGGCAAUUGGUUUAGUGGUAUAAUACCCCCUUAGCACCGGAGAUCAGCUGACCCGACGACGUGGGGGUGGUCCAGGGUUCGAUUCCCUGAUUGUCCA
Molecule: transfer RNA, 97 nt
Organism: Blastomyces gilchristii SLH14081
Lineage: Eukaryota; Fungi; Ascomycota; Eurotiomycetes; Onygenales; Ajellomycetaceae
Rfam family: tRNA
About the family: Transfer RNA (tRNA) molecules are approximately 80 nucleotides in length. Their secondary structure includes four short double-helical elements and three loops (D, anti-codon, and T loops). Further hydrogen bonds mediate the characteristic L-shaped molecular structure. tRNAs have two regions of fundamental functional importance: the anti-codon, which is responsible for specific mRNA codon recognition, and the 3' end, to which the tRNAs corresponding amino acid is attached (by aminoacyl-tRNA synthetases). tRNAs cope with the degeneracy of the genetic code in two manners: having more than one tRNA (with a specific anti-codon) for a particular amino acid; and 'wobble' base-pairing, i.e. permitting non-standard base-pairing at the 3rd anti-codon position.
Source: Rfam